Amphiprion ocellaris (clown anemonefish) is the source of this 1559-nucleotide long non-coding RNA. The record is from Ensembl. Lineage: Eukaryota; Metazoa; Chordata; Actinopteri; Pomacentridae.
AAAAUACUUUAUAGGAAAUAACCCGCCGAUCAAAGACUUCAAGUGGAUUCUUCUUCAUGACAAUGCCUCGUUUCAAGGCUUUCAUUAAAUCAGCUAAUACAAUUCUUACAUGAUGCAUGUUCUUGAUCAGUUUUAAAGGCAUAGACAAUGUAGAGCCAGAUAGCAUUCUGGACUAUAAUAUCCGGAGAGCACAGUGAGUGCUCAGUGGCAUUUUUUUUUUCUUUUGCACAGCCUUGAUCCUAGCACAAUAAUCUGGCCAUAUUCUUUUAUCAAAGUUCAAUAUGCACAUGCAACAACCUUUUCAAAAAUGUAUCAACCCCAUAUGCCAGACUCUUCACUAGCUCUCUUAUAAAGCAAAAUGAGAAAUGCAACAUUCAGAGUAAUUGGCAUUAGUUCAAGGAUUCUUUUCCUAUUAUCUAAAUCUCACUAAAGUGAAUCAAAAAGAGCAGCAGUACGUCAUUCCAGGCAACAGAAAAGAAACAUCUGCAAUCUGUCCUGGUAAAUGGAUCAAUGCAGGCAGACUUAAAUACAAUAUAGCUGAUGAAAGACAAAUACUUAAAAGAAAUUCCCCACUUUAAUUGGCAUUUCAUACCAUCCAAAACAAAGAAAACAUUUUUUUUUUUUUUAAAGGAGGAAACUGUACAUUGGUAGACAAAUCCCAAAACCAUAUCAAAUAUGACUAACUGUAAUGCAUUUUUGUUUUGAGCAUAGCUUAGAACAUUGAUUAAUUUAACCGUUCUCAAUUGUACCUUAAAGUGAAAACCAACUCCCGGACUCCUUGUGAAAAUGAUGAAAGUGAACAUUGUGAACAAGGCAUUUUGUUAAAGCAUAGAAUACAAGCUUCAAACUUUCAAAUCAUCCCAUUAUCAAACAAACAGUAUUUUGAUGUGUAUUCAACACAGUACAGGUUACAAAAUCUCUUAAAAUUCUUUGGGAAUGUUUCAGGUAAACUCUCCCAUUCCUGAUGAAGGCAUUAUUGCAUGCCAUGCAGAAAAAAACAAAACAAAACUACAAUCUAACAACAAAAUGACCAAAAGAACAUAAUGACAGAGACCUUCCCUUCACACAAGUCAUGAGAGUGAAUGGAAGUUGUAGUAUUUAGGAAAAAAAUGCAAUCACAUCCCUAAAAACAUUGUUGUCAUAAGAAAAUAGUAGAUAAAAAUAUUCUCUGCAUUUUACAACAAAGGAGGUACAGGGAGCAUUGGCAAAUGAGUUCAGAGGUAUCGCUUCUACUCUGCUUCUUUUUCCUCUUCGCCAUUCGGCUGUUCCUCUUCACCGUCUGGCUGUUCCUCUGUGCCGUUCGCCUGUUCCUCUGCAGCUGUGGUCUGAAGAUGGAGAAGACAGCAUUCAGCAUUUUGUUCUCUUUGCCACAAUGCAAAUCCUUCGCAGCAUUGGUGAAGAGAAAAAAAAAAAAAAAAACGCAACUUUUCAUACCUCCUCAGCUUUGGCCUCCCCGUUUUCUGCUGGAGCCUCUUCUGUCUCUGCCUGAGGUUCUUCUUUCUUCUCCUCUGGCUUAGCCUUUGCUGGUUUUUUCACAUCUUUCUUGGCAGGUGCCUAAC